Molecule: ribosomal RNA, 989 nt
Filed under: marine metagenome
Description: bacterial SSU rRNA
Rfam family: Archaeal small subunit ribosomal RNA
Source: RNAcentral
GCCCCUCGAGUGGUGGGGAUGAUUAUUUGGCCUAAAGCGUCCGUAGCCGGCUUUGUAAAUCUCUCGUUAAAUCCAGCGUCCUAAGCGUUGGGCUGCGAGGGAAACUGCAGAGCUAGAGGGUGGGAGAGGUCAGCGGUAUUCCUGGGGUAGGGGCGAAAUCCAUUGAUCCCAGGAGGACCACCAGUGGCGAAGGCUGCUGACUUGAACACGCCUGACGGUGAGGGACGAAAGCUGGGGUAGCGAAUCGGAUUAGAUACCCGAGUAGUCCCAGCCGUAAACGAUGCAGGCUAGGUGUUGGGUCGGCCAUGUGCUGGCUCAGUGCCACAGGGAAGCCAUUAAGCCUGCCGCCUGGGGAGUACGGCCGCAAGGCUGAAACUUAAAGGAAUUGGCGGGGGAGCACCACCAGGCGUGAAGCCUGCGGUUUAAUUGGAGUCAACGCCGGGAAUCUUACCGGGAGCGACAGCAGAAUGAAGGCCAGGUUGAAGGUCUUGCUGGACGAGCUGAGAGGUGGUGCAUGGCCGUCGCCAGUUCGUGCCGUGAGGUGUCCUCUUAAGUGAGGUAACGAACGAGACCCGUGCCCCAUGUUGCUAACAGUAUCUAAAGGAUAGCUGAGCACUCUUGGGGGACCGCAGCCGACAAGGCUGAGGAAGGUGCGGGCCACGGCAGGUCAGUAUGCCCCGAAUCUCCCGGGCCACACGCGGGCUGCAAUGGUAGUGACAGAGGGCUGCGACCCCGAGAGGGGGAGCCAAUCCCUAAACACUAUCUCAGUUGGGAUCGAGGGCUGCAACCCGCCCUCGUGAACAUGGAAUGCCUAGUAACCGCCGGUCAUCAUCCGGCGGUGAAUACGUCCCUGCUCCUUGCACACACUGCCCGUCGAACCACCCGAAUGAGGUUUUGAUGAGGCAUGGUCGAAAGUUGGCCGUGUCGAAUCUGGGCCUUGUAAGGAGGGUUAAGUCGUAACAAGGUGGCCGUAGGGGAACCUGCGGCCG